This 433-nucleotide ribosomal RNA is filed under the name uncultured bacterium. Its description in RNAcentral is "bacterial SSU rRNA". It matches the Rfam family "Bacterial small subunit ribosomal RNA", at positions 958 to 1392 of the family's 1533-position model. The record is from RNAcentral.
AACGCGAAGAACCUUACCUGGGUUUGACAUAUAUCGGAAACGUUCAGAGAUGGGCGCCCCGUAAGGUCGGUAUACAGGUGGUGCAUGGCUGUCGUCAGCUCGUGUCGUGAGAUGUUGGGUUAAGUCCCGUAACGAGCGCAACCCUCGUCCAAUGUUGCCAGCGGGUUAUGCCGGGGACUCAUUGGAGACCGCCGGGGUCAACUCGGAGGAAGGUGGGGAUGACGUCAAGUCAUCAUGCCCCUUAUGUCCAGGGCUUCACGCAUGCUACAAUGGCCGGUACAAAGAGUUGCGAGCCUGUGAGGGUGAGCGAAUCUCAAAAAGCCGGUCUCAGUUCGGAUUGGGGUCUGCAACUCGACCCCAUGAAGUCGGAGUCGCUAGUAAUCGCAGAUCAGCAACACUGCGGUGAAUACGUUCCCGGGUCUUGUACACACCG